This 645-nucleotide ribosomal RNA is filed under the name uncultured bacterium. Its description in RNAcentral is "bacterial SSU rRNA". It matches the Rfam family "Bacterial small subunit ribosomal RNA", at positions 232 to 885 of the family's 1533-position model. The record is from RNAcentral.
CGCGGCCUAUCAGCUUGUUGGUGAGGUAAUGGCUCACCAAGGCGACGACGGGUAGCCGGCCUGAGAGGGCGACCGGCCACACUGGGACUGAGAUACGGCCCAGACUCCUACGGGAGGCAGCAGUGGGGAAUAUUGCGCAAUGGGCGAAAGCCUGACGCAGCAACGCCGCGUGCGGGAUGACGGCCUUCGGGUUGUAAACCGCUUUCAGCAGGGACGAAGGGUUACCUUGACGGUACCUGCAGAAGAAGCACCGGCUAACUACGUGCCAGCAGCCGCGGUGAUACGUAGGGUGCGAGCGUUGUCCGGAAUUAUUAGGCGUAAAGAGCUUGUAGGCGGUCUGUUGCGUCGGAAGUGAAAACUCAGGGCUUAACCCUGAGCCUGCUUUCGAUACGGGCAGACUUGAGGAAUGUAGGGGAGAAUGGAAUUCCUGGUGGAGCGGUGGAAUGCGCAGAUAUCAGGAGGAACACCAGUGGCGAAGGCGGUUCUCUGGACAUUUCCUGACGCUGAGAAGCGAAAGCGUGGGGAGCAAACAGGCUUAGAUACCCUGGUAGUCCACGCCGUAAACGGUGGGCACUAGGUGUGGGACCCAUUCCACGGGUUCCGUGCCGAAGCUAACGCAUUAAGUGCCCCGCCUGGGGAGUACGG